Macaca mulatta (Rhesus monkey) is the source of this 148-nucleotide unclassified non-coding RNA. It matches the Rfam family "Metazoan signal recognition particle RNA". Rfam says of the family: The signal recognition particle (SRP) is a universally conserved ribonucleoprotein. NCBI's taxonomy places the organism in Eukaryota, Metazoa, Chordata, Mammalia, Primates, Cercopithecidae. The record is from Ensembl.
GCUGGGUGUGGUGGCGUGUGCCUGUAAUCCCAGCUACUUGGGAGGCUGAGGUGGGAGAAUCGCUUGAACCCAGGAGGUGGAGUUUGCUGUGAGCCGAGAUCACUCCACUGCACUCCAGCCUGGGUGACAGAGUGAGACCCUGUCUCAA